CAGCACCUCAAGUGGUCAGGAUGAUUAUUGGGCCUAAAGCAUCCGUAGCCGGCGCUGUAAGUUUUCGGUUAAAUCUGUACGCUCAACGUACAGGCUGCCGGGAAUACUGCAGCGCUAGGGAGUGGGAGAGGUAGACGGUACUCGGUAGGAAGGGGUAGAAUCCUUUGAUCUAUUGAUGACCACCUGUGGCGAAGGCGGUCUACCAGAACACGUCCGACGGUGAGGGAUGAAAGCUGGGGGAGCAAACCGGAUUAGAGACCCGAGUAGUCC
This 270-nucleotide ribosomal RNA is filed under the name uncultured archaeon. Its description in RNAcentral is "partial 16S ribosomal RNA". It matches the Rfam family "Archaeal small subunit ribosomal RNA", at positions 477 to 747 of the family's 1478-position model. The record is from RNAcentral.